Molecule: long non-coding RNA, 1001 nt
Organism: Syngnathus acus (greater pipefish)
Lineage: Eukaryota; Metazoa; Chordata; Actinopteri; Syngnathiformes; Syngnathidae
Exons: 3
Source: RefSeq, a predicted model, not a curated record
CUUUGAGGAUUCACAAGCAAAGCGGACUCAGGAACAUUCCCGCUGGACAGGCACCAAGCGAGAGCAAGCCAAGACGUAAGACGACGACAGAAAGUUUGCAACAUUCGACUUCUGGGUGGAAUUCAGGCUGACCAUAAAAUGUACUAUAACCUUUCCAGUAUUCCCUCCAUCACUCUUCUGACACCAACUGAGAAGAUGGCGUCCAUAUUGCUGACUACACCUUAGAAGACACUCUGACCUACUUGGCCAUAACGUGAACCAGGGUAGGACGUAAAUAACCCAUACUAGACAAUUGAUUUGAUUUUAUCACCGCAUAAUAUCUGACUGCAACCAUUUGGAAUCCACGCAAGUGCAUUUCAUUCAGUUAGGCCUGAGCGUGUGUAUGUAUGUGUGGAGGGGGGGGGAGUGGCUUUUUUUUUUCCUUCCCCCCACAGUCAAUCUGCAGCUGUAGGAUGGCAGCAGUGUUCCACAGGGGGGGUGGGGAAGAGACGAGCUGAAAAGUCACGUGAAGAGGACCCCGGAGUGGGUGUGGCGUGCAGGCCCACCCCCCUUUCGGCGUGUGGUACAGAAAGUGCUCACGACUUUCUCAGUCCCAGCCCUUCCCUCUUGUGUGUCCUCCGCCCUUCCCCUCCCCCUUUACAGAGAGGCUCCACCUUGUGAACAUGCACACACCCACCGAGAAGCUACUCAUGCAAUGCCAGGCUUUCAAUCACAGCCACAGGUCAGAGCAAAAGAAGUCCACAUAAUAAUUCAGUGACACACUACUACGUGUUUGUUGAAGUUCAGGAUGAAUAUUUAAUGCCUACAGUGUCUAGAACGGUGCUCGGUAACUGAGUGGUUUUUCAAAAUACACACCUAAAAAUGAGCAUGGACUUAUUUUUUGUAUUCAUUAUUUAAUAGAUCACUUUUUUGCAUGCAGUUGUGGAUUCAUUAUUUUCCAGAAACGUAUUGUGACUAGCAUUUUUAAAACGUGGGGCUCACAAUUAAAAUGAAGUCUUUAA